This is a long non-coding RNA of Phymastichus coffea, 513 nucleotides long. RefSeq lists it as uncharacterized. The transcript has 3 exons. The record is from RefSeq and is a predicted model, not a curated record. Lineage: Eukaryota; Metazoa; Arthropoda; Insecta; Hymenoptera; Eulophidae.
CCGUAUCUCUGUGCUCGUCUUUACCCUAUUAUAUAUUGUAGAUAAACUAGAAGAUUAGAUAUAAAUUGUCUUGCGGCUACGGCUACUGCUAUACAUACUGAUAUUCGCCUCUUCUGCAACCGAAGACGCUGCGCACAGGAAACAAAACAGUCUUGGUCUUCGUCACUGCCUCAAAUUGAUUCUCGUCUCCAUCAAACAAUCCCUGACAAGACCUCUUGCUCUAACAAUGCAAGACUUCAAUCUCUCCGCUGAACUCCGACUGCCGGCAUAGGACAGUCUCAAGUCACGGCCGAUCCUCUCGAUGAUUGCCAGCAACUGGGUGUAUUUACUCUCUGUUUCCGGCACUGACUCUUGCAACAAAAUUUCCGCUUCUUGAGUCAUGAACUUGCCAACCGGUGAGUAUUACUUCCUGCUUCUUCUCGUCGUAGUACCUGUCUACCUAUUCUUCCGAUUAUGGUCCUGGUUAGGAUGGCAGUUGUUUGUCAAUAACUGACACUCGCACAAUCUUCUUCG